Molecule: ribosomal RNA, 301 nt
Filed under: uncultured bacterium
Lineage: Bacteria
Description: partial 16S ribosomal RNA
Rfam family: Bacterial small subunit ribosomal RNA
Source: RNAcentral
CAGUCGCCGCGGUAAUACAGAGGGUGCGAGCGUUAAUCGGAUUUACUGGGCGUAAAGCGUGCGUAGGCGGCUUCUUAAGUCGGAUGUGAAAUCCCUGAGCUUAACUUAGGAAUUGCAUUCGAUACUGGGAAGCUAAAGUAUGGGAGAGGAUGGUAGAAUUCCAGGUGUAGCGGUGAAAUGCGUAGAGAUCUGGAGGAAUACCGAUGGCGAAGGCAGCCAUCUGGCCUAAUACUGACGCUGAGGUACGAAAGCAUGGGGAGCAAACAGGAUUAGAUACCCCUGUAGUCCCUGUCUCUUAUAC